CGGGGGGCAGCAGUGGGGAAUAUUGGACAAUGGGGGCAACCCUGAUCCAGCCAUGCCGCGUGAGUGAUGAAGGCCUUCGGGUUGUAAAGCUCUUUUGGCGGGGACGAUGAUGACGGUACCCGCAGAAUAAGCCCCGGCUAACUUCGUGCCAGCAGCCGCGGUAAGACGAAGGGGGCUAGCGUUGUUCGGAAUUACUGGGCGUAAAGCGCGUGUAGGCGGUUUGCCAAGUUGGGUGUGAAAGCCUUGGGCUUAACCCAAGAAAUGCACUCAGUACUGGCAGACUAGAGGACCGGAGAGGAUAGUGGAAUUCCCAGUGUAGUGGUGAAAUACGUAGAUAUUGGGAAGAACACCAGUGGCGAAGGCGGCUAUCUGGACGGUUUCUGACGCUAAGACGCGAAAGCGUGGGGAGCAAACAGGAUUAGAUACCCGAGU
This 432-nucleotide ribosomal RNA is filed under the name uncultured Rhodospirillaceae bacterium. RNAcentral describes it as "bacterial SSU rRNA". It matches the Rfam family "Bacterial small subunit ribosomal RNA", at positions 342 to 791 of the family's 1533-position model. The record is from RNAcentral. Lineage: Bacteria; Pseudomonadati; Pseudomonadota; Alphaproteobacteria; Rhodospirillales; Rhodospirillaceae.